AACAAGGCGUACCUGCGGACCUGCGGAGGGAUCAUUACCGAGUACCGGGUCUUCGGGCCCUGCUCCCACCCUAUGUGUACCUACCUCUGUUUCGUUGCCUCGGCGGGGUUGAUCCUGCGCGGCCCCUGCGGCCGCGGGGGGGACCCGCCGGGGGGACACAGUCUAAACUCUAAUUUAACGUCGAGUCUGAGAAAACACGAAUAAGUCAAAACUUUCAACAACGGAUCUCAGAUCGGAAGA
This 240-nucleotide unclassified non-coding RNA is filed under the name soil metagenome. RNAcentral describes it as "partial contains 5.8S ribosomal RNA, internal transcribed spacer 2, and large subunit ribosomal RNA". The record is from RNAcentral.